GCCAGCUUUCUUUAAUUAUUGGAGCAUCUGCGAAAUUCUGGAUCCAUUCUAAUAACAAGGGAAAUUUUUCAUGAUCUAUCAAGGUCGCACCACAUACCUCCUCCCACACACUAAGCAAAUUAGCAAGCCAACCAAAAGCAAGGUCUACCAGUCCAAUUGUCUCUCCAUUGAAGAAUUUUUUUCCAGUAAGCUGUCUUUCUACAAAUCCCAAGUUCUCCUGGGCUGUAACGAUAGCUUCCUCUUGAUCCUU
Molecule: long non-coding RNA, 250 nt
Organism: Quercus robur (English oak)
Lineage: Eukaryota; Viridiplantae; Streptophyta; Magnoliopsida; Fagales; Fagaceae
Exons: 2
Source: RefSeq, a predicted model, not a curated record